This is a long non-coding RNA of Cygnus olor (mute swan), 1504 nucleotides long. RefSeq lists it as uncharacterized. The transcript has 7 exons. Lineage: Eukaryota; Metazoa; Chordata; Aves; Anseriformes; Anatidae. The record is from RefSeq and is a predicted model, not a curated record.
CCCGUGAGAUGGCUCACGGGGUCCGUGGAUGAGUCUGGCACGGCUGCGUGGUCAUGCACCCGUCUCUGCUCACACCUCACUUCGACCACAGCUCAGAGACACUGCUGCUUCCAGCUUGGCUAAAAGGAAGCUGCAGUCAGUGCACACCAUCGGUUGAAGAACACCGAUGAAAAUAGAAAGAGAAUUUGACAAGAAAUUACAGCAACUGUCAUAUCUUGUGUCCCACCGUCUUCUGCAAAUCUUCUUACUUAAAGGGGAGCUUAACUUCUUUUUCCAGUUUGCUUGUUGCUGGAAUCUUGAAAAUAGCAUUAUGUUGCUCACAGUUUGAUUUACCGGAUAGAAGGAAGGCUUUUCUGCCUGCACAUUAACACUAAUUUCUCCUCCCCGGCUUAUCUUGCUCCUUUCUUGAGGCUGCGGAGAAGAUGCAAGGCUGGGUUUGACAUCAUCUCCAUGGCAGCACACGUUCGUUUCCAUGGCAAUGUAUUUCACAAACAACCCUACAACUUUACUACAGUGUCAAACAAAAGGAGAAGCCCGACUGUUGGAGCAAGCUCUUACCAAGCUCUUGCUCCAGGGUAAGCACGCCAUUUCAAAAUCUAAAUUCACCAGUCCAUAAUUACUGUGCUACCCAGCUGCAUUCCUGCACACGAGUAGAGAUGCUUUCCUAAACUGCGAAGUAAGGGAUCUGUGUGGGGCUGAUACCUGGGGAAGCAGUGAAUGACUUGACCUCUCUUUCAAGAGUGUUAAAAUUGCAAUGUGGGCUCGCUGCUGAGGAACUACCAACAUACCCAUCUGAAUGAAAGCUGUGAAUCUGUUCCAUGGGUUGUAAAAAUAAACUUGUUUCAUUGAGCUUUCGUGUAUCAUGAGAUUUGCAAAUGUAAAAAUUCAAUACGAAGAAAAUGGGUUUUGAGUAAUUCCUUAAUCUGUUUUUCAGUGGUCAGGAUGUUCAGCUGUGUUUUCUGUGUCUUCUCCCUAAUCACUUUCAUAUUAAAGAUUAAUUGCAUAUCAUAGAGAAUCCUUGAUUAAGCCAAUGAAAAGUGAGGGCACAGAUCUGUUCAUCAGAAGCAGCAUGAAGAAUAAUAAUGAGCAACCGCCUGGCUUGUCUACCUUACAAUAGACACACACAAGACGUAUUUCUGUGAUGCUCCAUUUGCUGUUAUUAAACAGAAAAGAAUCGUCUACUGCUUUACUGGAAAGCUUCCUUAUUAACAAAACACAAUAAAUUAUUCCACUGUACACACCUUUUGUGGUGUAAGUUUAACAGGGAAAGGAGUUAAUAUUUUACAAGUGUGUUUUGCCUCUGACUCCAGGAGAAUUCAACAAGGUGAUUUAUGAAGGCAUUUUUAUUCUAGACUUGCACUUUGCUGUUUUGGUUAUGGCUUUCUCUUUUGCUCCAUGCCUCUUAGCAAUGUUUUUUGUCCUGAGUUGUGAGGUACCGUAUGCGAGGCAUGUACCACAUCAGUAAACCUGCAGAAUUUAUUUCCCGUUGCACAACUAAGUCAGU